UGGGGAAUAUUGCGCAAUGGGGGAAACCCUGACGCAGCGACGCCGUGUGAGGGAAGAAGGCCUUCGGGUCGUAAACCUCUGUCGGGAGGGAAGAACCGCCAGGAGAAUAACACGCUCCUGGUCUGACGGUACCUCCAAAGGAAGCACCGGCUAACUCCGUGCCAGCAGCCGCGGUAAUACGGAGGGUGCUAGCGUUAAUCGGAAUCACUGGGCGUAAAGCGCGCGUAGGCGGCCUUGUAAGUCGGAUGUGAAAUCCCACGGCUCAACCGUGGAACUGCAUUCGAAACUCCUUGGCUAGAGUACAGGAGAGGGUGGCGGAAUUCCCGGUGUAGGAGUGAAAUCCGUAGAGAUCGGGAGGAACACCAGUGGCGAAGGCGGCCACCUGGACUGUAACUGACGCUGAGGCGCGAAAGCGUGGGGAGCAAACA
Molecule: ribosomal RNA, 428 nt
Filed under: uncultured Desulfovibrio sp.
Lineage: Bacteria; Pseudomonadati; Thermodesulfobacteriota; Desulfovibrionia; Desulfovibrionales; Desulfovibrionaceae
Description: bacterial SSU rRNA
Rfam family: Bacterial small subunit ribosomal RNA
Source: RNAcentral